RNA transcript from Glossina fuscipes, 1171 nucleotides. It is a transcript of the gene named exonuclease 3'-5' domain-containing protein 2-like, with no coding region annotated. The record is from RefSeq and is a predicted model, not a curated record. The transcript is spliced from 4 exons. Lineage: Eukaryota; Metazoa; Arthropoda; Insecta; Diptera; Glossinidae.
UCACAUGCAUCAUAUACCGAAAAGUCUAAAGAAUCUCUUAGAAGACAAAGAAAUAAUAAAAGUUGGGAUAGAUCCUUCGGGAGAUGCGCAAAAAUUGCAAGAAGACUAUGGAAUUUACGUGGCUAGUACCUUUGACAUACGUUACUUGGCCGUUAUGAUUGGGUGUAAACCAUUGGGUUUAGAAAAAUUAUCGCGGUUGGUCUUAAACGUAGAUCUUAUUAAGCCUUGGCAUAUAUCCGCUUCGAAUUGGGAAGACAAGAAGUUGAGCGACGCACAAAUCGAAUAUGCUGCUAAUGAUGCCUUUGCAGGAAUAGAGAUUUUUAAGCACUUAUCUUACAGACUGAAGAGAAGUAAUGAAUUGUUCUUCAGAAACGUUGACUUUGCAAGAAUCAAAAGUGAAAUAGAAGAUCUUGUAGGAUAUCCUUUCAUCGAAAAUUUUGUACAAAAGAAGUAAGUGAGGUAUUCACCAGCAUCAUUAUUACCUGGCAAUGACCCUUGCCGUCUUCAAGCGCUAAAUGGUGAACUUUUGUGUGGCUUGAGUUCAUCGAAAGCUGAGUGGUAUUUGGAGGAAGGAUUAGGAACGAAAGCAUUGUCUAAACCAUUUACAGUACGUUUAAACAAAGAACCGGCUUGUAAAGAACUUGGUUAUCAGGCGCCUCAUCUGAAUGAAUGCGCGAUUUGCAGUGGGCGUGAUGCUUUUGUACUUAGAACUAUCGUGCCAAUGGAAUAUCGUAAACAUUUCCCAGGUAGUUACUUAAAGUUCGAACUCAAUUUUAUUCAUACGAUGACGUAAAACUUGUAUGCGUUAAAUGUGAUCGCCUAAGUGAUAUAUGCGACGUCCAAAUUCACCAUGCAUUGAGCUUGAUAUGUAAUGCUCCUCGGGGCUAUGAGCAGGUAACUAAACAGAGGCUAAAAGAAAAUGAGUACGACAAGAUAAAAACAUGUCAUGAUUGCAAAGCUAGCAAAAAUUACGAAAUGUUUUUAAAAGUUUACUCUAAAGAUUGUCGCACUAGUGAGGAAAUGCUAAGCAGAGCGAGAGAUUCCGAUCACGGUGCAAAAGUGGUCAAAAAAUUCCAAACCGUAUAUGGAGGUUUAAGAGAGUUGGAAAUAUUGUGGAGAAACCAUUUUUCGGCAAAGAGAACGUCGUAUCCCGAAUACGUUGACAACGAAU